GUGAGGAAUAUUGCGCAAUGGAGGCAACUCUGACGCAGCCAUGCCGCGUGCAGGAAGAAGGCGCUACGCGUUGUAAACUGCUUUUAACCGGGAAGAAACCCCAGGACGUGUCCUGGGUUGACGGUACCGGAGGAAUAAGCACCGGCUACUUCGUGCCAGCAGCCGCGGUAAUACGAAGGGUGCAAGCGUUAUCCGGAUUCAUUGGGCUUAAAGGGUGCGUAGGCGGAGCGUUAAGUCAGUGGUGAAAUCCUGCAGCUUAACUGUAGACUUGCCAUUGAUACUGGCGCUCUUGAGUGCGCUUGAAGUGGGCGGAAUGUGCCGUGUAGCGGUGAAAUGCUUAGAUAUGGCACAGAACACCAAUUGCGAAGGCAGCUCACUAAGGCGAUACUGACGCUGAGGCACGAAAGCGUGGGGAUCGAACAGGAUUAGAAACCCUAGUAGUCC
Molecule: ribosomal RNA, 444 nt
Filed under: uncultured bacterium
Lineage: Bacteria
Description: partial 16S ribosomal RNA
Rfam family: Bacterial small subunit ribosomal RNA
Source: RNAcentral